Molecule: long non-coding RNA, 823 nt
Organism: Erinaceus europaeus (western European hedgehog)
Lineage: Eukaryota; Metazoa; Chordata; Mammalia; Eulipotyphla; Erinaceidae
Exons: 4
Source: RefSeq, a predicted model, not a curated record
UGCGCCACCUGCGCUUAACCUGCUGUGCUACCGCCCAACUCCCAGCAGAAGCUUUCUUAAGUGCAGCGGAGUCUGGUCUCAAGUAUGGGCCGUGUGCACGGCAAAGAAGUCAUGCCCAAGGCUCUACUUCACUUGUGGGUUGCACAUGGAGUACAAUAAGACAAUAGUACAUACACUUCCAAAUUUUCAUUUCAGAGAAGAGGAAUGAGAAGCGUAGACACAUAUAACUUGCUUGGGUUCUGCACAGAUGACAAUAUAACUGAAACUCUGAGAUGAAGUGUCUUGUCACGACCACACAGUGGGUUCUUAAAGAGCUGAUCACUUGUUUCACUCCAAGGAGUAAAAGUCAUUUUCGUAGCAUCAGGCCGCUUCCCAGCAGGAGGAUGGUACCUCUCAGCUCAAAACAGCUGGUAUUAGGUUCAAGAAGAUGAAACUGAGAAAAGUGGUUUAUCUCCAGCUUUAAUCAGCAGCUCUCGGCUCACCCAGGUCGGCAAGCAGUCUGUCUCUUACUUCCUUUUCCUCCCACUUGCGGUAAAGUGGUAAUGAUAGCACAAAGGCAGCCUGCAGGGACUCAGUGACCCAGUCAUGCUGGGACUGUUGUUUCCUUUUGCUACCACCCAGCACACAUAUGCUCUGCUUAAAAAAAAAAAAUAUUAUUAAUACUAACUAUGUGCUUGGGCCCUGACAACAAAUGUGCUGGAAAUUCUAAGCAGCGUGGUGCUGAGUAAAAUGGUUGCUACAGGUGAUCAUCAGGAUGGAGAAUGGCAGAAGGAGAGAAUGUGAGCUCACACAUUCAAACAAACAUUAAAUAUUAAAUACCGGA